CCUACGGGAGGCAGCAGUGAGGAAUAUUGGUCAAUGGACGAGAGUCUGAACCAGCCAAGUCGCGUGAAGGAUGACGGCCCUAUGGGUUGUAAACUUCUUUUAUAAAGGAAUAAAACGAGGCACGUGUGCCUUUUUGCAUGUACUUUAUGAAUAAGGAUCGGCUAACUCCGUGCCCGCAGCCGCGGUAAUACGGAGGAUCCGAGCGUUAUCCGGAUUUCUUGGGGUUAAAGGGAGCGUAGAUGGGUUGUUAAGUCAGUUGUGAAAGUUUGCGGCUCAACCGUAAAAUUGCAAUUGAUACUGGCAGUCUUGAGUACAGGUGAGGUAGGCGGAAUUCGUGGUGUAGCGGUGAAAUGCUUAGAUAUCACGAAGAACCCCGAUUGCGAAGGCAGCUUACUAAACUGUGACUGACAUUGAUGCUCGAAAGUGUGGGUAUCAAACAGGAUUAGAUACCCUUGUAGUC
This 460-nucleotide ribosomal RNA is filed under the name uncultured bacterium. RNAcentral describes it as "partial 16S ribosomal RNA". It matches the Rfam family "Bacterial small subunit ribosomal RNA", at positions 338 to 795 of the family's 1533-position model. The record is from RNAcentral.